RNAcentral lists this ribosomal RNA (459 nucleotides) under Triticum aestivum (bread wheat). RNAcentral describes it as "partial small subunit ribosomal RNA". Lineage: Eukaryota; Viridiplantae; Streptophyta; Magnoliopsida; Poales; Poaceae. The record is from RNAcentral.
AUGGAAUCCUCCCAGAUCACCGGGGAUGGCGGCGAAGAGUGCAACAGCAAUGAAUCUGGGUGGACGAUAUACCUGACCUCCCCCACGAGCAGCUAUGAAGCAAAAGAGAAUGGCAGUGAAGGGAGCAAUGUUGAAGAUGGCAGUGGCUACAUCACUGAGAGGAGGAAAGGGAAGGAAGAGAACAACGCGGAUGAUGAUGGAGAUUAUGAUUCCCUGGCGUCUGAUGCUUCCACAGGGACAUCUCAAGUGAAGGUGCUUGAAGGCAAAGAAGAGAAAGAUCGUCAGACAAAUGACGGUUGCAGCAAUGAACAUGGCAAGGAUGAACAGGCUGAGACGCUUACCAAGUUCUCGACCGGCAGCAACAAAAAGGCGGGCAAGGUGAAGAAAGGGGACGACAAAAGCAGCAAAAGAGGCCACAAUAGAAGACGUAGCUCAUCAAGAACAAGCUUCUUUUGGUAA